UAUCCAUCAGAAGAUUCUGUGUGUAUGUGAAACAUGGGCGGUCCGCUGAGGAUGGCUACUUUAGGAGAGGGCCCUUCCCCUGGCGACCAGAACAGGCUGGACAACCACAAGAAGAUCAGCUGCUAGUAGAUGCCACAGAGGAGAAGUUUCCAGUAAGAAGACAAGCCAUCAGAGGUCAAGAUAAAGAAAGGCUGUACUUGGAGCACAAAAGAACAACUUCCUGUUUAAAGUGAGAUCACUGCCACAGGAGGAAAGGUCCAGGACAGUAAAAUCCAAAUAAGGAGCACCACACCUCAGGAGAACACAUCUACAUUCUUCCUCCUCGCCUCCUCGUCAGCAGCACCCUCUCUCGCUCCCCAUCCCGUCUGAGAUACUGCCAUGGACCGCUCGGCGAAGGAGCUGUUCCUCAACUUCAUGAUUGUCUUAAUCACUGUGCUGCUGAUGUGGCUGCUGGUGAAAACUUACCAGGACUGAACCGUGGAGCAACAAGAGAGGAGAAGAAUGAGAGGCAGAGGAGAUGGAGAGACACGUGUGGAGGGAAGCCAGCAUGGUUACUGUAGGACUUUGCUGCUGAUUGAUUGAUUCAGACGCAGUGUUUACAUCUUUUCAUUCUUUUAGUCUAUGGUCACUGGUCUGGUCCAGAGCUCUAGUAUUCCAGUGAGGUCAAAGAAAACCAUGUGAAUGUCCGAGCCAGAUGAGCAGAUUGUCAACGAAAUGUUUUUGUUUUUAAUUUGGCCUUGAAUUUCUGGCAAGAGCCGAAGGGGAACUCACAGUAGAUAUGGGGAGGGAAAAUAAAAAGAAAUAAACAGGGGUUUGAGACUCUACUUUUUGACUGUGGAAGCCUUUUACGUGAUGGCUAAAAUAAAAAUAUGUGUCAUUCAUAUGACCUUUGAUACAUUGAA
Molecule: RNA transcript, 902 nt
Organism: Dicentrarchus labrax (European seabass)
Lineage: Eukaryota; Metazoa; Chordata; Actinopteri; Moronidae
Gene name: sarcolipin
Exons: 3
Source: RefSeq, a predicted model, not a curated record